Molecule: ribosomal RNA, 401 nt
Filed under: uncultured bacterium
Lineage: Bacteria
Description: bacterial SSU rRNA
Rfam family: Bacterial small subunit ribosomal RNA
Source: RNAcentral
UGGGGAAUAUUGGACAAUGGGCGAAAGCCUGAUCCAGCAAUGCCGCGUGAGUGAUGAAGGCCUUAGGGUUGUAAAGCUCUUUUACCCGGGAUGAUAAUGAAAGUACCGGGAGAAUAAGCCCCGGCUAACUCCGUGCCAGCAGCCGCGGUAAUACGGAGGGGGCUAGCGUUGUUCGGAAUUACUGGGCGUAAAGCGCGCGUAGGCGGCUUUCUAAGUCAGGGGUGAUAUCCUGGAGCUCAACUCCAGAACUGCCUUUGAUACUGGGAAGCUCGAGUCCGGAAGAGGUGAGUGGAACUCCGAGUGUAGAGGUGAAAUUCGUAGAUAUUCGGAAGAACACCAGUGGCGAAGGCGGCUCACUGGUCCGGUACUGACGCUGAGGUGCGAAAGCGUGGGGAGCAAAC